Molecule: ribosomal RNA, 639 nt
Filed under: Methylobacterium sp. Z259
Lineage: Bacteria; Pseudomonadati; Pseudomonadota; Alphaproteobacteria; Hyphomicrobiales; Methylobacteriaceae
Description: bacterial SSU rRNA
Rfam family: Bacterial small subunit ribosomal RNA
Source: RNAcentral
CAGUCGAGCGGGCACCUUCGGGUGUCAGCGGCGGACGGGUGAGUAACGCGUGGGAACGUGCCUUCUGGUCUGGAAUAACCCUGGGAAACUAGGGCUAAUACCGGAUACGCCCUUUUGGGGAAAGGUUUACUGCCGGAAGAUCGGCCCGCGUCUGAUUAGCUAGUUGGUGGGGUAAUGGCCUACCAAGGCGACGAUCAGUAGCUGGUCUGAGAGGAUGAUCAGCCACACUGGGACUGAGACACGGCCCACACUCCUACGGGAGGCAGCAGUGGGGAAUAUUGGACAAUGGGCGCAAGCCUGAUCCACCCAUGCCGCGUGAGUGAUGAAGGCCUUAGGGUUGUAAAGCUCUUUUAUCCGGGACGAUAAUGACGGUACCGGAAGAAUAAGCCCCGGCUAACUUCGUGCCAGCACCCGCGGUAAUACGAAGGGGGCUAGCGUUGCUCGGAAUCACUGGGCGUAAAGGGCGCGUAGGCGGCGUUUUAAGUCGGGGGUGAAAGCCUGUGGCUCAACCACAGAAUGGCCUUCGAUACUGGGACGCUUGAGUAUGGUAGAGGUUGGUGGAACUGCGAGUGUAGAGGUGAAAUUCGUAGAUAUUCGCAAGAACACCGGUGGCGAAGGCGGCCAACUGGACCAUUACUG